Molecule: unclassified non-coding RNA, 253 nt
Filed under: uncultured Parachlamydiaceae bacterium
Lineage: Bacteria; Pseudomonadati; Chlamydiota; Chlamydiia; Parachlamydiales; Parachlamydiaceae
Description: contains 16S-23S intergenic spacer region
Rfam family: Bacterial small subunit ribosomal RNA
Source: RNAcentral
UACGGAGGGUGCAAGCAUUAAUCGGAGUUAUUGGGCGUAAAGAGUGCGUAGGCUGAAGCGUAAGUCAGAUGUGAAAGCCCGGGGCUUAACCCCGGAAUUGCAUUUGAAACUGCGUUUCUAGAGGGUAGGCGGAGAAAACGGAAUUCCACGUGUAGCGGUGAAAUGCGUAGAUAUGUGGAGGAACACCGGUGGCGAAGGCGGUUUUCUAGCUUAUACCUGACGCUGAGGCACGAAAGCGAGGGGAGCAAACAGG